Molecule: long non-coding RNA, 2326 nt
Organism: Micropterus dolomieu (smallmouth bass)
Lineage: Eukaryota; Metazoa; Chordata; Actinopteri; Centrarchiformes; Centrarchidae
Exons: 5
Source: RefSeq, a predicted model, not a curated record
UUAUGUAAAUUCUGAAACAUGAUUUAUGAUGUCAUUAGUCAAGUGACAUAUAAUUCAGAACAUCCAAGGUGGGUUAAAAUCAAGGGCAAUUGGACUUAUUGAAGAUACUUGGAGACGUUUUUCUUCUCAGCCAAGAGGCUUCUUCAGUUCUGACAGACUGGCAGGGAGUCUCAGCUAUAUAACCUCUUUGGGGGGUCGUUAUCAAGGUGAUGGAUACUGGCACUCUUUGCUGUUGUAACAGCAGUCGUCAUGGUUGUUGAAGUCACCUGAGGCCAAGUCUGAACAACCGUGGUUGGGAUUGUCUCAUGAGGCCAAAUGACCCACAGGAAGUUUGCUUUACAGCAGGAAGCAGGAAACAUUCAUCCAGUGAGAAAACAGCAAAAACCUUUGGAGUCAAGCACAAGAAAAGGGUGAUGAAAAGGAAAACAAAACUUUAAAUGAGGACAGCACCUCCCCGGUGGCAAAAGGCUCUUUUUGUUUAUAGAGACAGCCAACGAUAAACAGGAAAUGUGGGAGACAGACAGGCAUACUGCAAAGGGUCGCAGGCUGGACUCAAACAAGGACCGCUUUAUUAAGGACUCAUACGCGCUACCAAAAUGUAAUGCAGUUAACUGCUGAACUAACACAGACAUUGAAUAACUACCAAACUGCUGUUGGUAUAAAACCUGAUACUAACAAGAAGCCUGUUCCGGUGUUGUUUCCGAUGCCUUUUCUUGACGCGGGUGCUUCUGAUCACAUAAGAGGACUUACACAGAGCUGAACCCAUCCCAUUAACUUGGUGAACACUUCACCAAGCACAGCCUGACAGUGACAGCUGUGGAGAAUAAAAUCAAAAGAGCACAAUCAUCUCCCUCGGUCUCUUUCGUACCUGUCCAGAACCCAUCAAUUCAAAGAUUGUCCCUUGAAAUCAAAUAUGACUGAGGCGGGACACUGUGUCCAAAGGGCUGGAGAGGUUUGACCCCUGGGGUGGGUUGAUGCCUAUUAUACCAUUGCCCCAAGGCAUUGAGCACCCCCUUCUACCACACACACACACACACAUACCCAGAGGAUCAGGUGACCCUCCAACCUUUGAAACUGUGUAUGUGAUCAAACCUUCCGCCUCUGCUAAGGACACAUUGAGUGAAACACAGGCCUGUGUCUGUUUACAGGGAUUUUUUCUCUCCUGUCAUUUUGCAGUUACAGAUACUUAAUGAUGGGAUGGAUACAGUAAAUACUCUACGUUUGGUGGUAUUCUACUUUAACCAGUAUUAAGCAAAUUAAUUAUACAUAUAACCUAUUUUUAAUUUUUUAUUACUUCAAUAAUUUAACUACAUUAUCCUAGUCAUUUUGUUUUUUAGGUAUACGGCAUUGAAUCAGAACACUUCAUGUAUAACGAAAUGUAAUUCCUCCAUAAUUACCUGACCUGAUCUAAACUUAAUUAGGUCCACUUGUAGCAUGAAAACUAAUACCUUAGAUGGCUCCCAAAUAUUUGGCAGAUGUGUCCAAUCUAUAUCAACAUAAUUCCCAACAGCUGCACUCAAAUGUAGUUUAAAUUAUAAUAUGUUCUUAAAAAGUUGAUGCACUGUAGUUGAUGUAUGGGUAAUCGUUGACUGUGGUACCUUGUAUGGAAUUUAUAGGCUCCCAGUGGUCAUAAAUGUAAAUGUAUGUAUGUUUUUCUACAUUAUAAAUAACAUUCAAACAGGUGCUACCACUCACUGAAUAUUGAUUAAACGCAUGAUAUGUUCCCUAUCCAGUUGGUGACCUUCAUGGACGAUUUAACCUGAAGAGUAAACGCAGACCUUUGUGCACCACGCUUAACUGCACUUUUGUGUCCUUGGAUUCUGAGACCCCAGGCUCUGAGGUUGCAGCGAGCAUGUGAUUUUCAGUUUAAACAUCCUUAAUCCACACUCAGGUUGGUGGGUCAGUCAGCCACAUGAGACGGUUAAGGGGAAAAAAAGCAUUACUAAGCUUUUGCUGUCAUUUUCAAUUAACCUGUCUGGUGUCUGUUUAAGUCCAGCGGUGCUGCUGCAGAAUGUCCACAGAACUGGAACAAGAUGAAUAAAAACACCUCACAGUAUGGCAGCAGUGUGAGCAGUGUUGAAUUAGCAAAAUCUAUCUGCUGCCCUCCUGUGGAGCCAUGGUGACACUGUUUAUGUUAUGGUACAUUCAAAAAACAUAAUCUGUGUAGCUGUCAGGGUUAUAGAUCGAUUGAGCUUAAUUGAGAUAGUUAAUUAAUGAAUCCAUCAGCCUUUUAUUUUUGCAUUACUGACCCAACAUUUUAAUACAUCAGUGAUAUAUUUUUGUAUUGUGGAUUGAGCCUUUUUAAAUGUUUACAUGCUAGUGGUGA